This 1272-nucleotide ribosomal RNA is filed under the name Triticum aestivum (bread wheat). RNAcentral describes it as "partial small subunit ribosomal RNA". The record is from RNAcentral. Lineage: Eukaryota; Viridiplantae; Streptophyta; Magnoliopsida; Poales; Poaceae.
AUGAACACCUUCUUCGUUUUCGUCAUCACUCUCCUGCUCCUCCUAUUCACACUGGUAGUACAAGCCCUAAGGCGCAGGACUAACCAAAGCCAGCCGCAGCCGCCAGGGCCUCCCGCUCUCCCCAUCAUCGGCCACCUCUACCUCUUCAAGGGCCCCCUCCAUCGCCGCCUCACACGCCUCGCCACCCGCUAUGGCGCCGUCUUCCGCCUGCGGUUCGGCACCAAGAACGUCGUCGUCGUGUCCUCCGCCCAAGCCGCCGAGGAGUGUCUCGGCGUGCACGACAUCGUGUUUGCCAACCGGCCGCAGCUGCCGACGGGCAAGAUCCUCUCCUACGACUGGAGCACCAUGGGCACCGCCAGCUACGGGGACUACUGGCGCCACAUCCGCCGCAUCGGCGCCACUGAGCUCCUAUCGGCGCACCGGGUGCAGCAGUACGCCGACGUCCACACACGGAUGGCGCGGUCCAUGGCGCGGCGCCUCUACCGCUCGGCUGCCGGUGGUCGCGCGCGGGUUGAGCUCAAGUCACGGCUCUUCGAGAUGCUCAUGAACGUAAUGACGAGCAUGAUUUGCGCGAGGACAUCCUAUGGGACCGAUGGCGAGGAGAUAUUGGAGGUGACAGAAGAGGUCCAGUGGUUUCGGACGAUGAUGGAGGAGACGAUGACACUAAUUGGUGCAUCGACGGUGUGGGACUACAUACUAACACUGGUGCGAUGGCUGGACAUCGGCGGGUUCGGGAGACGGUUGUGGCGGCUACGAGAGAGUAGAACAAAGUUCGUGCAGGGACUUAUCCAGGAUGAGAGAAAUAAGAUGGAGGAGGGCACGACAACAGGGAGGACGAUGAUUGGGGCACUGUUGGCCCUACAACACAAGGACCCAGAGGAUUGCCCAGACCAGCUUAUCCGAGCUUUGUGCAUCAGCGCCCUCGAAGCUGGAUCAUCUACUUCUGCAGAUACAGUUGAGUGGGCAAUGUCCCUCAUGCUGAAUAACCCUAAGGUGAUGGUCAAAGUUCGUGAUGAGAUUGAUUCCUACAUAGGGAAACCAAUACGCCUAAUCGAGGCAGCCGAUCUCCUAAAGUUACAAUACCUUCGUUGCAUAAUCAUGCAGACGCUUCGUCUGCAUCCACCAACACCACUUCUUGUUCCUCAUGAAUCUUCUAUUGACUGCAUCGUCGGUGGAUUUUAUAUUCCCAAGGGGACAAUGCUUCUUGUCAACACAUCUGCAAUACACAGGGAUCCCAAGAUAUGGGAUAAACCAACAAACUUUAUUCCAUAA